This 426-nucleotide ribosomal RNA is filed under the name Pseudomonas sp. RNAcentral's name for it is "bacterial SSU rRNA". It matches the Rfam family "Bacterial small subunit ribosomal RNA", at positions 64 to 483 of the family's 1533-position model. The record is from RNAcentral. Lineage: Bacteria; Pseudomonadati; Pseudomonadota; Gammaproteobacteria; Pseudomonadales; Pseudomonadaceae.
GAGCAGGAUGAGUCGGAGCUUGCUCCAUGAUUCACCGGCGGACGGGUGAGUAAUGCCUAGGAAUCUGCCUGGUAGUGGGGGAUAACGUUUCGAAAGGAACGCUAAUACCGCAUACGUCCUACGGGAGAAAGUGGGGGAUCUUCGGACCUCACGCUAUCAGAUGAGCCUAGGUCGGAUUACCUAGUUGGUGGGGUAAUGGCCCACGAAGGCGACCAUCCGUAACUGGUCUGAGAGGAUGAUCAGUCACACUGGAACUGAGACACGGGCCACACUCCUACCGGAGGCAGCAUUGGGGAAUAUUGGACAAUGGGCGAAAGCCUGAUCCAGCCAUGCCGCGUGUGUGAAGAAGGUCUUCGGAUUGUAAAGCACUUUAAGUUGGGAGGAAGAGCAGUAAGUUAAUACCUUGCUGUUUUGACGUUACCAACA